This is a non-coding RNA of Taeniopygia guttata (zebra finch), 1578 nucleotides long. The record is from RefSeq and is a predicted model, not a curated record. NCBI's taxonomy places the organism in Eukaryota, Metazoa, Chordata, Aves, Passeriformes, Estrildidae.
UAAGAGGGAGGAAGAAUGAUUCACAAACAAGUCCUGUAAGCUGCCUACAGGAGCACCACAGGGAGGAGUCCUGUUACUCAUUAUGCUGCUGUCAGCUCCAAUGAGGCCAGAAGCGCAGCAGAACAAUGGUUGUGACGUCUUGGGUGGCCAAAAGUUUCUUACAUUGUUUUCACAUUCAUUGUGUGACGCAACCACCCGCAACAAUUGCGCGCUUGAAAUUUUCUCAGAAAUGAAAGGAAGCUUUUGGGCCUGCCUGUAAGAAGCUUACUCCCCACAUAAAUGAUGUGACUUGCAAUUCAAAUCCAUAUAAAUGUACAUAUUCAUCUUCCCCAGCCCACAGAACACAGGCAAAGUUGCAGUGCAUUUAUCCUCACACGGACAGAAGCAUGACAGGAGAGGAGAGAAGACAUCAAAGAGAUUUUGCCAAACAGAGGAAUAUGGAUUUCCCACUCCCCUCCCUGAAGGAUAUUUUCAAGAUGCAAGGUUUUUCAACACACAAAUAUAUUAGCAGUGCAAAGCAAGCAGGAAAGGCUGUAACAUUUGCUGAGGUUCUACUAAACCGGCUUGGACUGUGUGUAGAGGGGGAGAAGGAUCCGGGGCCUGGCAGUUUGCCCUGAAAUUCAUAGAGGUUACAGGGUCCGCUGUGCUGCCCCAGUAACUUUUCUUCCACCUACUGCAACCCAGAAAGUAAUGUGCUCUCAAUCCAAAAGGGAAAACACAAAACAGCCAAUUCCCAUCUGAUUUUUGCAGUAUCUAGACGUGCUGGAUGAUUUGCUCCCUCCAUUUCCUUUCAGCACAGCAGUUACUUUCAGCAUCUCUCUGCUGGAGCACUGGCAGGGUAAAUAAUAGACAUAUUUCUCAACGAUCCCAACUCCUUUCUUUAAAUAUUCACACCACAGAUUUUUCAACACAACAUUUGGGGAGGUGACAGUUAUUUAUAUAAGAAUGAGAUGGGAUAUGGGACUUAACAAAAGUUAUUACACAAUGUGGUGGCAGGGAAAGACAGCUGAAUGUAGUCUACUAAACCGUAAAAUGCUGGAACCUCCAAGCUUUUUUGCAAGUUAGAAAAAAACAGAUUUUCACACUUUAAAUACACCUUUAAUUAGAGAUAUAAUCUUGAAUGGGAGAUAGAGAAGACAAUAAUUUUUACAAAAAAAAGUAUAAGAACAUACUUUCAAAUGUAUCUUCAAAGGUACUAAAGGAGUUAGGUUCUCAAAUCUUACGGGAUGGCAUAAGUAGAUUAUGGAAUCUCCACUGCAAAUGACAGCUGUAAUGUCCAUAAAAGCAGGCCUGUUUUGCAGCCAAGGUACUUAACUAGGACUCAGUAGAUUUGGGAUUCAUGCCUGGCUCUGUCUAAAUCUGCAAGCCAUUUGACUUCUCUGUGCCUCAGUUUCUCUUUCUGUGCAGCAGUACACUGAAGCUGCACAGAGAAAUUCUCAGGAUGCAGUCGCUGUAAUGUGGGGGACACACAUAAUUAUUUAGUUUAUAGUAAUUUAUGACAACUAAAAAUAAGAAGUGGGAUUGAAAAUGAGACUUACUAUAUAUGCAUAGAAGAAUAUUCAUCAUGUUAAUUACUCA